This 1179-nucleotide long non-coding RNA is filed under the name Oncorhynchus kisutch (coho salmon). Its description in RNAcentral is "lncRNA (ENSOKIG00005037691.1)". Lineage: Eukaryota; Metazoa; Chordata; Actinopteri; Salmoniformes; Salmonidae. The record is from RNAcentral.
GGCGAUAUGAGUCUUUCAGGUGAUGCUGCUUGCGUGACGUAUAAUCUAGUGGACGGAACUGGAGGCUUCUUCAACAGCGACAAAAGGCUUCUGAUUCAACCAACGUGUUGCUUUGCUAGCGAACAUAAAGUUGAGUCUUUGAAGCUCUUUUGACCAAUCUUGUGUAUAUUACUCUUAGUGUUUUGAAUAUAAUUAUGUUUACCCAUCUACUAGUUCAUUUUAACGUCAUUUGCUCGUUAAAUUAGCAAAUGUGUUACUAAAUUUAUACUGCACUAGGCUAAUCGACCGGAGCAUGAGCUCACAAAGCUCGACCGAGAAAGAAGCUCUGGUGAAAGGAGAGGAAGACGCUUUCAGGAUGAAAAGGGAGGAAGAGGACGCUAUCACAUUGAAAGAAGAAGAGGAUGAUAUUACAGUGAAAGAGGAAGAUGGGAAAGAGGUUGUCAAAGUGGAAGGGGAGGAGGUAGAAGCUUUCAGAAUCAAAAACGAGGAAGAUGCCAUAACAUUGAAAGAAGAGAAUGUAGUGAAAGAAGAGGAAGAACCUUUCAGAGUAAAAGAGGAAGAGGAGACUAUCUCAAUCAAAAAGGAGGAAGACGUUUUGGGAGUGAAAGCGGAGGAGGCUGAAGAUCAGACUACCACCAGAGAGAGACGUGACUAUCGUGGAUCCUCUGGGGAGCAUCAACAACAUCCUGAUCCUGCUGACGAGGCAGAGAAGAGUCUCUCCAGAUCAGAACACCAGAUGGACAACACUAGCCCUUCCUCCCUCCCGGAGUCCCCGUGUCGUACCUCUUCCAGUAGCGCCUUACUGCUGGGUAUGAAGAGGUUGUCUGUGCUGCUGGUGGACUGCAGGAAAACAACGGGGCUGAGUGGAACUGUGAGAGGACGACAAGAGAAGAAAGGAUCAGAUUUGACACAUCAAAGUAAGUGCUGUAGUUCAGUUUGAACAAAUAAAAUACAAUCUGCCCACUGGUAUCUGUUACCAGGACAACCAGCAGAGUUCUGUUAGUUGACAGGAAGAUAGGCUGGUGUAUAUGGAUGUUAUGAAUAUCAUAACACUGAAAAGGAUUCUACCAAUGAAAAGAGAGGAACCAAUAGACCAUAUAAAACCUUGAUAAAAGUUAGCUUUAGAGAGGAACUAAUAGACCAUAUAAAACCUUGAUAAAGUUCGCUUCAGAGAGAAAC